Molecule: ribosomal RNA, 566 nt
Filed under: uncultured bacterium
Lineage: Bacteria
Description: partial 16S ribosomal RNA
Rfam family: Bacterial small subunit ribosomal RNA
Source: RNAcentral
UGGGGAAUUUUGGACAAUGGGGGAAACCCUGAUCCAGCCAUCCCGCGUGUGCGAUGAAGGCCUUCGGGUUGUAAAGCACUUUUGGCAGGAAAGAAACGUCGUGGGUUAAUACCCCGCGAAACUGACGGUACCUGCAGAAUAAGCACCGGCUAACUACGUGCCAGCAGCCGCGGUAAUACGUAGGGUGCAAGCGUUAAUCGGAAUUACUGGGCGUAAAGCGUGCGCAGGCGGUUCGGAAAGAAAGAUGUGAAAUCCCAGAGCUUAACUUUGGAACUGCAUUUUUAACUACCGGGCUAGAGUGUGUCAGAGGGAGGUGGAAUUCCGCGUGUAGCAGUGAAAUGCGUAGAUAUGCGGAGGAACACCGAUGGCGAAGGCAGCCUCCUGGGAUAACACUGACGCUCAUGCACGAAAGCGUGGGGAGCAAACAGGAUUAGAUACCCUGGUAGUCCACGCCCUAAACGAUGUCAACUAGCUGUUGGGGUCUUCGGACCUUGGUAGCGCAGCUAACGCGUGAAGUUGACCGCCUGGGGAGUACGGUCGCAAGAUUAAAACUCAAAUGAAUUGAC